RNAcentral lists this ribosomal RNA (462 nucleotides) under uncultured bacterium. RNAcentral's name for it is "partial 16S ribosomal RNA". It matches the Rfam family "Bacterial small subunit ribosomal RNA", at positions 28 to 507 of the family's 1533-position model. The record is from RNAcentral.
GAUAAACGCUGGCGGCGUGCUUAACACAUGCAAGUCGAACGAAGUUUUUCCUUCGGGAGAAACUUAGUGGCGGACGGGUGAGUAACGCGUGGGUAACCUGCCCUGUACAGGGGGACAACAGCUGGAAACGGCUGCUAAUACCGCAUAAGCACUUAGCACUGCAUGGUGCAUAGGGAAAAGGAGCAAUCCGGUACAGGAUGGACCCGCGUCUGAUUAGCCAGUUGGCAGGGUAACGGCCUACCAAAGCGACGAUCAGUAGCCGAUCUGAGAGGAUGUACGGCCACAUUGGGACUGAGACACGGCCCAGACUCCUACGGGAGGCAGCAGCGGGGAAUAUUGCACAAUGGAGGAAACUCUGAUGCAGCGACGCCGCGUGAGUGAAGAAGUAUUUCGGUAUGUAAAGCUCUAUCAGCAGGGAAGAAAAUGACGGUACCUGACUAAGAAGCACCGGCUAAAUACGUG